CAGCAGCCGCGGUAAUACAGAGGGUGCGAGCGUUAAUCGGAUUUACUGGGCGUAAAGCGUGCGUAGGCGGCUUUUUAAGUCGGAUGUGAAAUCCCUGAGCUUAACUUAGGAAUUGCAUUCGAUACUGGGAAGCUAGAGUAUGGGAGAGGAUGGUAGAAUUCCAGGUGUAGCGGUGAAACGCGUAGAGAUCUGGAGGAAUACCGAUGGCGAAGGCAGCCAUCUGGCCUAAUACUGACGCUGAGGUACGAAAGCAUGGGGAGCAAACAGGAUUAGAUACCCGUGUAGUCCCUGUCUCUUAUAC
Molecule: ribosomal RNA, 301 nt
Filed under: uncultured bacterium
Lineage: Bacteria
Description: partial 16S ribosomal RNA
Rfam family: Bacterial small subunit ribosomal RNA
Source: RNAcentral